This 360-nucleotide ribosomal RNA is filed under the name uncultured bacterium. Its description in RNAcentral is "partial 16S ribosomal RNA". It matches the Rfam family "Bacterial small subunit ribosomal RNA", at positions 338 to 696 of the family's 1533-position model. The record is from RNAcentral.
CCUACGGGUGGCAGCAGUGAGGAAUAUUGGUCAAUGGCCGGAAGGCUGAACCAGCCAAGCCGCGUGAAGGACGAAGGUGCCAAGCAUUGUAAACUUCUUUUGUCAAGGGACAAAAUCAGGCUCGUGAGCCUGACCGCGGGUACUUGAAGAAAAAGCAUCGGCUAACUCCGUGCCAGCAGCCGCGGUAAUACGGAGGAUGCGAGCGUUAUCCGGAUUUAUUGGGUUUAAAGGGUGCGUAGGCGGGCUGUUAAGUCAGCGGUAAAAGCCCGGGGCUCAACCUCGGCAAGCGGUUGAAACUGGCUGUAUUGAGAGGUCGAGAGGUAUGCGGAAUGCGCGGUGUAGCGGUGAAAUGCUUAGAUA